Molecule: transfer RNA, 84 nt
Filed under: Chitinispirillales bacterium
Lineage: Bacteria; Pseudomonadati; Fibrobacterota; Chitinispirillia; Chitinispirillales
Description: tRNA-Leu
Rfam family: tRNA
About the family: Transfer RNA (tRNA) molecules are approximately 80 nucleotides in length.
Source: RNAcentral
GCGGUCGUGGUGGAAUUGGUAGACACGCUACUUUGAGGGGGUAGUGGGCGUACGCCUGUGUCGGUUCGAGUCCGACCGACCGCA